RNAcentral lists this ribosomal RNA (253 nucleotides) under uncultured bacterium. RNAcentral describes it as "partial 16S ribosomal RNA". It matches the Rfam family "Bacterial small subunit ribosomal RNA", at positions 524 to 776 of the family's 1533-position model. The record is from RNAcentral.
UACGUAGGGGGCAAGCGUUGUCCGGAAUUACUGGGCGUAAAGGGAGCGUAGGCGGCACUGUAAGUUUCAUGUGAAAUACCCGGGCUUAACCUGGGGGUUGCAUGGAAAACUGCAGAGCUAGAGUACAGGAGAGGCAAGUGGAAUUCCUAGUGUAGCGGUGAAAUGCAUAGAUAUUAGGAGGAACACCAGUGGCGAAGGCGACUUGCUGGACUGAAACUGACGCUGAGGCUCGAAAGCGUGGGGAGCAAACAGG